GCUCAACUAUGCAAUGUAAGGUGGACCAA
Molecule: non-coding RNA, 29 nt
Filed under: Mus musculus (house mouse)
Lineage: Eukaryota; Metazoa; Chordata; Mammalia; Rodentia; Muridae
Source: RNAcentral